AUGCAGCUGGUGAAUGGACACAGUACUGUUGGCAUCGAAGAGGAGCACAUUAAGACACUACACACCAGUGAGGAAGAGGAGGGCACUAAAACAUCACACACUCACCCUCAACCCAGACUGUUCCUCAUCCUCUUCAUCCUCCUGACUUUGGCUCUGCUGCUAAUCCUGUUGCUGUCUUCCUACGCUGUCUAUCUCAUGGUUGUGACAACAUCUUGGAUGGGUGAGUUAGCAGGCGGUAGUGAGGUGGAGAGGACUUACCUGGGGGAGAUGAGACCGUGGAAGACUCUCCUUCAACAGUACCUAGACCUCAGCCAGAGCCGCUGCUCAUAGUGAGAUACAGGAGGCCAGGGUGCAUUGGAAGACACCUGUGAGUGAGCAGCACGAGCCAGCUAGCGCUCUGGCAGUGGAGCCAACGCCUCAGCGGGAACCCGACUUGAUCUCCUCUAGAAACAUUGCCUAGGAGCCCAAAACACAGCCACCCUGACAGAAACGGAGAGAUACACAGCCAAUAGUGGAGUUUACUUAUAUCAUGUGCUGAACACCCUUUUAUUCCCUUAAUGUGCUGGUGAGUGAGAAUAUUCUGUACCCUUUCGUAGCCUUUUUACACUGGUUAAUAAAUUAUUAUACUU
Molecule: long non-coding RNA, 629 nt
Filed under: Oncorhynchus mykiss (rainbow trout)
Lineage: Eukaryota; Metazoa; Chordata; Actinopteri; Salmoniformes; Salmonidae
Description: lncRNA (ENSOMYG00000068905.1)
Source: RNAcentral